UUCCCUGUGUCCAUGUGUUCUCAUUUUUCCUCACCCGCCUAUGAGUGAGAAUAUGUGGUAUUUCAUUUUCUGUUCUUGUGUCAGUUUGCUGAGGAUGAUGUUAUCCAGAUUCAUCCAUUUCUUUACAAAGGAUGUGAACUCAUCAUUUUUGAUUGCUGCAUAGUAUUCCAUGGUGUAUAUGUGCCACAUUUUCCCAGUCCAGUCUAUCAUCAAUGGGCAUUUGGGUUGGUUCCAGGUCUUUGCUAUUGUAAACAGUGCUGCAAUGAACAUUCGUGUGCAUGUGUCCUUAUAGUAGAGAUGGGGUUUCACCAUGUUGACCAGCAUGGUCUCGAUCUCUUGACCUCAUGAUUCACCUGCCUCGGCCUCCCAAAGUGCUGGGAUUACAGGCGUGAGCCACCACGCCCAGCCAGAUUCUGCUUUUAAAGAGAUUUUCAGGCUAAGACUCCCAAGUUCUUCAGAUAUACUGAAUUUUCUUCAGCUGAUUUGAUAGUUAUUUAGUUUUAUUUUUUGUUAACUUUAUUAAAAUGGAUGCUUUUGUCAUCAAUUUGUGUAUCUAUAACUGCCAUCCUCACCCUUCCCAAAAAAAUAGGUAACUUAACAUGACCUCACUAUUCUCUGGUCACUCCGUUUCUGGCCAUUUUAAUAUCACAUAGAAUUUUAGUUUGAAAUUAUACUAAUUAGAUGUAUCUUCUUUCUCUUCCUGAUUCUUGAAUUUUGAUAGGAAAUCAAACUUUACUCCUUGUAUAUCUUAGCAUCCUCCAAGAGAGAUUUCUCUUUAUCCUAGAAAUAUUUGUCCAAGGGUGUCUUAAAGAUAAUCUAUGUUACAGAUUUUUUUCAGCCAUAUAUCACUGAGAAUAUCAUAAAACACCAAUUUCAAAGAACUUUUCCUUGAACACUUUGUGUUAGCCAGGAAUACAAAUAUUAUUAUAUUGUCUUAUUCCACCUAGGGUAGCUGUUGAGAGAUUUGGCAAUGAUAGUUAACACUUAACAGAAUGUUUAGUAUGUAUAAGGGAGUGUUCUAAUAAUUUACAGAUAUUAACUCAUUUAGUGUCCAUGAUGGCAAUUUCAUUCUUCUUCCUUUGUAGUUAGAAUCCCCUAUUCCAUUGUCCCCCCAAGGCCAUUUUGAAAGCUUGUAGACUUUUUAUUUCCUUCUUGAUGGUCUUAUAUGUUAGUUUAUUGAGCAUAGGUGUGAUUUCAUUUUUUCAUCUAUUCUAUUUUACCAGUUCCUGAGUCUUUUUAAUCUAAGG
This 1247-nucleotide long non-coding RNA is filed under the name Callithrix jacchus (white-tufted-ear marmoset). Its description in RNAcentral is "lncRNA (ENSCJAG00000074712.1)". The record is from RNAcentral. Lineage: Eukaryota; Metazoa; Chordata; Mammalia; Primates; Cebidae.